GUGCUCACACUGGCAGCAUGUAUACUAAAAUUGGAAGGCUACAGAGAAGAUUAGCAUGCUCCCGUGCCAGAUGACAUGCAAAUUUGUGAAGCAUUCCAUAUUAAA
Talpa occidentalis (Iberian mole) is the source of this 105-nucleotide small nuclear RNA. The record is from RefSeq and is a predicted model, not a curated record. NCBI's taxonomy places the organism in Eukaryota, Metazoa, Chordata, Mammalia, Eulipotyphla, Talpidae.